Long non-coding RNA from Scatophagus argus, 955 nucleotides. RefSeq lists it as uncharacterized. The transcript is spliced from 3 exons. NCBI's taxonomy places the organism in Eukaryota, Metazoa, Chordata, Actinopteri, Scatophagidae. The record is from RefSeq and is a predicted model, not a curated record.
CGCAGCGCGGCAAAGCCUUCGUAGGGCACGCUGGAUGUCCCGGUGACAAACUGCAGCAGGCGGAGACGCUGCUCAUUGUUGAAGCGUUCUACAGCGGCCCAGAACCACCGCAUUACUAUGUGACCAUCAUGUCACCGAGGUCGAUCUCUACCGUACCGGCAAUAACCAGCUCCAGCUCCCGUGCAUCGAACACAGACACCAGCCUGGAGUCUACCACCUGGUUUGGAGGAAAACAACAUGUGUUUCAGUCGCCUUUAGAAGCCUCUGACUAAAGCCUCUGUCUGCUGCACCACUCCUCGCUCCACCCUCCACUUGGCCAUUCGUUCUAUAUAGUCCUUCUUGUUCUUCUCAGUCACUUGGAGAUGGGAGCCACCGGACUUCAGCUCCCGCUCCGUCACCUGGCAACGCAGGAAGUACUGGAUCUCGUUAACAGUGCAAGUCAUCAAAGCAAAUACACUGAAAGCUUGGAAAUAUAUUCGACAAUACUAUGUAUAUCAUAAAGAAUAAAAGAAAUGUAUAUGCACAACAGGUAUACGCAUGUGUUAUUCAGCUGAUAAUGUCAUCCACAGUUACAAACACAAACACACACAUGCACACACAGACCUGGCCAAAGACCUCCUCAUUGACAGUGAAGGUGAGGUCGAGGAUGUCAGUGAUGUCGUUGUCUUUCAUCCACUGCAGAGACUGGUGGAAUUCCUCGUCCAGAUACUCCAGGUCAGACAGGUCUGUGGGCCUGAAGGACACACACAGCUCACAAACACAACCCGCAAAAGCACACAAUACCAGUCUGCUAAUCAGUAAGCCAGCGCAGUUUCUUAUCGCAACCAGAUUCCAACUGACCCAGAAUCCAAAAGUGAAUUUAUUUACACUGUGGCCUGUAUGCUUGGUUUUCCAAAUUGUUAUUGGCACACGUAGCAAAAUGUCCAGAUUACUGAUGGGAUGUUUCUGAUAUUUA